GCGCCCGUAGUUCAAUGGAUAGAACAUAUGGCUUCGGACCAUAAAGUUGGGGGUUCGACUCCCUCCGGGCGCACCA
Molecule: transfer RNA, 76 nt
Filed under: bacterium (Candidatus Torokbacteria) CG_4_10_14_0_2_um_filter_35_8
Lineage: Bacteria
Description: tRNA-Arg
Rfam family: tRNA
About the family: Transfer RNA (tRNA) molecules are approximately 80 nucleotides in length. Their secondary structure includes four short double-helical elements and three loops (D, anti-codon, and T loops). Further hydrogen bonds mediate the characteristic L-shaped molecular structure. tRNAs have two regions of fundamental functional importance: the anti-codon, which is responsible for specific mRNA codon recognition, and the 3' end, to which the tRNAs corresponding amino acid is attached (by aminoacyl-tRNA synthetases). tRNAs cope with the degeneracy of the genetic code in two manners: having more than one tRNA (with a specific anti-codon) for a particular amino acid; and 'wobble' base-pairing, i.e. permitting non-standard base-pairing at the 3rd anti-codon position.
Source: RNAcentral